This 255-nucleotide ribosomal RNA is filed under the name uncultured bacterium. Its description in RNAcentral is "partial 16S ribosomal RNA". It matches the Rfam family "Bacterial small subunit ribosomal RNA", at positions 524 to 776 of the family's 1533-position model. The record is from RNAcentral.
UACAGAGGUCUCAAGCGUUGUUCGGAUUCAUUGGGCGUAAAGGGUGCGUAGGUGGCGCUGUAAGUCGGGUGUGAAAUUUCGGAGCUUAACUCCGAAACUGCAUUCGAUACUGCGGUGCUUGAGGACUGGAGAGGAGACUGGAAUUCGAUGGUGUAGCAGUGAAAUGCGUAGAGAUCAUGAGGAAGACCAGUGGCGAAGGCGGGUUGCUAGGCUGACACUGACGCUGACAGCGCGAAAGCCAGGGGAGCAAACGGG